This 196-nucleotide ribosomal RNA is filed under the name uncultured prokaryote. Its description in RNAcentral is "partial 16S ribosomal RNA". The stretch from base 23 to 196 matches the Rfam family "Bacterial small subunit ribosomal RNA", at positions 547 to 720 of the family's 1533-position model. The record is from RNAcentral.
CCUUCUUUUUCUCGCUUUUUUCGGAAUUACUGGGCGUAAAGCGCGCGUAGGCGGCUUUGUAAGUUAGAGGUGAAAGCCCGGAGCUCAACUCCGGAACUGCCUUUAAGACUGCAUCGCUAGAAUCAUGGAGAGGUCAGUGGAAUUCCGAGUGUAGAGGUGAAAUUCGUAGAUAUUCGGAAGAACACCAGUGGCGAAG